Molecule: ribosomal RNA, 389 nt
Filed under: Platocoelotes imperfectus
Lineage: Eukaryota; Metazoa; Arthropoda; Arachnida; Araneae; Agelenidae
Description: partial 16S ribosomal RNA
Source: RNAcentral
CUCAAUGAAAAUUUAUAUAGCCGCAAUAUUGUGCUAAGGUAGCAUAAUCAUUUGUUUUUUAAUUAAAAACUAGAACGAAAGAUUUAACAUUUAUAUUUCUCUCUUAUAUAUAAUAAUUAAACUUAUUUUAAAUAUAAAAAAAUAUUUAUUUCUUAAAAAGACGACAAGACCCUAUUGAACUUAACUAAAGUUUAACUGGGGUAGUUAAUUAAUAAUCAUUUUAAUUUCAAUUUUAAAAAAAUCUAAUAAAAUUAAAAUAAUCAAGUUACCAUAGGGAUAACAGCGUAAUAAUUUUUCCAAGAUCUUAUUCAAAAAUUUGUUUACGACCUCGAUGUUGAAUUAAUAAUCUUUUAAAUGCAAUAAUUUAAUAAAGAAAGUCUGUUCGACUU